RNAcentral lists this ribosomal RNA (254 nucleotides) under uncultured bacterium. RNAcentral describes it as "partial 16S ribosomal RNA". It matches the Rfam family "Bacterial small subunit ribosomal RNA", at positions 524 to 776 of the family's 1533-position model. The record is from RNAcentral.
UACAGAGGGUGCAAGCGUUGUUCGGAAUUAUUGGGCGUAAAGCGCGUGUAGGCGGCUUUGCAAGUCGGGUGUGAAAUCCCUCAGCUUAACUGAGGAAGUGCGCCCGAAACUGCUUUGCUUGAGUGCCGGAGAGGAUGGCGGAAUUCCCCAAGUAGAGGUGAAAUUCGUAGAUAUGGGGGAGGAACACCGGUGGCGAAGGCGGCCAUCUGGACGGUAACUGACGCUGAGACGCGAAAGCGUGGGGAGCAAACAGG